Molecule: long non-coding RNA, 466 nt
Organism: Eptesicus fuscus (big brown bat)
Lineage: Eukaryota; Metazoa; Chordata; Mammalia; Chiroptera; Vespertilionidae
Exons: 4
Source: RefSeq, a predicted model, not a curated record
GCAGGAUGUUGUCGGGUUUGAUGUCCCUGCCCAGCGGGAAGAUGGGAGUGGAGGGAUAGGUCCCUCUCCAGGCGCUGCCCCGCUGGGCUCCACCAUUUGUCCAGGCCCCACCCCCAGCCCCUGAGGCGCCCACCUGUGCACGUAGCCCAGCCGGUGCACCGAGUCUAUGGCCAUGACAAUCUCCGCCAGGUAGAAGCGCGCCAUCUCGGCCGGGAUCCGCUCCCCGAACUUGCUCAGCAGCGUCAGCAGGUCCCCGCCCACGUAGUACUCCAUGACCAGGCAGCGAUUCACUCCCCGAGAGAAGAGAACCCAGAGGCCUCCUGAUGCUCAGAGUGUAGAGCUCCCCAGAUACCCACACAGACCCUGCCGAGCUCUCCCAUUCCAGCCUUGGGGUGGAGGUUCGACCCCGUAGUCAUCGGGCCGGGACUCACCAGGUAGUUCUCAUCCUGGAAGGCGAAGUGCAGCU